UACGUAGGUGGCAAGCGUUGUCCGGAAUUAUUGGGCGUAAAGCGCGCGCAGGCGGCCCUUUAAGUCUGAUGUGAAAGCCCACGGCUCAACCGUGGAGGGUCAUUGGAAACUGGGGGACUUGAGUGCAGGAGAGAAGAGUGGAAUUCCACGUGUAGCGGUGAAAUGCGUAGAGAUGUGGAGGAACACCAGUGGCGAAGGCGACUCUUUGGUCUGUAACUGACGCUGAGGCGCGAAAGCGUGGGGAGCAAACAGG
RNAcentral lists this ribosomal RNA (253 nucleotides) under uncultured bacterium. Its description in RNAcentral is "partial 16S ribosomal RNA". It matches the Rfam family "Bacterial small subunit ribosomal RNA", at positions 524 to 776 of the family's 1533-position model. The record is from RNAcentral.